Molecule: long non-coding RNA, 247 nt
Filed under: Glycine max (soybean)
Lineage: Eukaryota; Viridiplantae; Streptophyta; Magnoliopsida; Fabales; Fabaceae
Description: long non-coding RNA (GMAX_LNC001379)
Source: RNAcentral
UUUCCCAAAUAUUUGUAACUCAACCCAAUAGAACACUUCCAUCUCAACUUCCACGUCUUCAAACACCAUCAUUCACUGCAUAACAAAAUUGUGCGUGUGGGUCAACCUGUGAAUCCCGCCAUCCAAGAUUAUACAGGAUGGACCCAAAAUUCAAUAUAAUGAUGGACUCUUAGUUUACUCAAUUUGCUAUUUGUUCGCCACUGUGCUUUUCCUUUUUUGUCCACGUUUAACUGCAUGCAGAUCACCG